This 301-nucleotide ribosomal RNA is filed under the name uncultured bacterium. RNAcentral describes it as "partial 16S ribosomal RNA". It matches the Rfam family "Bacterial small subunit ribosomal RNA", at positions 509 to 807 of the family's 1533-position model. The record is from RNAcentral.
CAGCCGCCACGGGAAUACAGAGGGUGCGAGCGUUAAUUGGAUUUACUGGGCGUAAAGCGUGCGUAGGCGGCUUCUUAAGUCGGAUGUGAAAUCCCUGAGCUUAACUUAGGAAUUGCAUUCGAUACUGGGAAGCUAGAGUAUGGGAGAGGAUGGUAGAAUUCCAGGUGUAGCGGUGAAAUGCGUAGAGAUCUGGAGGAAUACCGAUGGCGAAGGCAGCCAUCUGGCCUAAUACUGACGCUGAGGUACGAAAGCAUGGGGAGCAAACAGGAUUAGAUACCCGCGUAGUCCCUGUCUCUUAUAC